Molecule: unclassified non-coding RNA, 377 nt
Filed under: uncultured Rubrobacterales bacterium
Lineage: Bacteria; Bacillati; Actinomycetota; Rubrobacteria; Rubrobacterales
Description: contains 16S-23S intergenic spacer region
Source: RNAcentral
UCCCGCUUAUCACGGGCAGUUCCCCUAAAGUGCCCACCAUCACGUGCUGGCAACUAAAGAUGAGGGUUGCGCUCGUUGCGGGACUUAACCCAACAUCUCACGACACGAGCUGACGACAGCCAUGCAGCACCUGUGUGGCACCCUCGAAGGUCACACGUUUCCGUGCGCUUGCAGCCACAUGUCAAGUCCAGGUAAGGUUCUUCGCGUUGCAUCGAAUUAAAGAACAUGCUCCGCUGCUUGUGCGGGCCCCCGUCAAUUCUUUUGAGUUUUAGCCUUGCGGCCGUACUCCCCAGGCGGAACACUUAACGCGUUGGCUGCGGCACAGAGGGAUUCGACUCCCCCCACACCUAGUGUUCAUCGUUUACGGCUAGGACUAC